GCGUAGCUCAGUUGGUAGAGCCCCGGAUUGUGAUUCCGGUUGUCGCGGGUUCAAACCCCGUCGU
RNAcentral lists this transfer RNA (64 nucleotides) under uncultured Methyloprofundus sp. It matches the Rfam family "tRNA", at positions 6 to 65 of the family's 71-position model. From Rfam's summary of the family: Transfer RNA (tRNA) molecules are approximately 80 nucleotides in length. Their secondary structure includes four short double-helical elements and three loops (D, anti-codon, and T loops). The record is from RNAcentral. Lineage: Bacteria; Pseudomonadati; Pseudomonadota; Gammaproteobacteria; Methylococcales; Methylococcaceae.